Mycena galericulata is the source of this 97-nucleotide non-coding RNA. Lineage: Eukaryota; Fungi; Basidiomycota; Agaricomycetes; Agaricales; Mycenaceae. The record is from the annotation of a GenBank genome assembly.
GGUUCGAUGGUGUAGUUGGUUAUCACUUCUGUCUAACAACGCGAUUAAAAUCACGUGAUUUCACAGGCGGUCCUCAGUUCGAACCUGGGUCGAAUCA